Molecule: ribosomal RNA, 497 nt
Filed under: uncultured bacterium
Lineage: Bacteria
Description: partial 16S ribosomal RNA
Rfam family: Bacterial small subunit ribosomal RNA
Source: RNAcentral
GACGAACGCUGGCGGCGUGCCUAAUACAUGCAAGUUGAGCGCUGAAGGUUGGUACUUGUACCGACUGGAUGAGCAGCGAACGGGUGAGUAACGCGUGGGGAAUCUGCCUUUGAGCGGGGGACAACAUUUGGAAACGAAUGCUAAUACCGCAUAAAAACUUUAAACACAAGUUUUAAGUUUGAAAGAUGCAAUUGCAUCACUCAAAGAUGAUCCCGCGUUGUAUUAGCUAGUUGGUGAGGUAAAGGCUCACCAAGGCGAUGAUACAUAGCCGACCUGAGAGGGUGAUCGGCCAAAUUGGGACUGAGACACGGCCCAAACUCCUACGGGAGGCAGCAGUAGGGAAUCUUCGGCAAGGGACGAAAGUCUGACCGAGCAACGCCGCGGGAGUGAAGAAGGUUGUCGGAUCGUAAAACUCGGUUGGUAGAGAAGAACGUUGGUGAGAGUGGAAAGCUCAUCAGGUGACGGUAACUACCCAGAAAGGGACGGCUAACUACGUG